RNAcentral lists this ribosomal RNA (419 nucleotides) under uncultured bacterium. RNAcentral describes it as "bacterial SSU rRNA". It matches the Rfam family "Bacterial small subunit ribosomal RNA", at positions 1061 to 1481 of the family's 1533-position model. The record is from RNAcentral.
CGUGUCGUGAGAUGUUGGGUUAAGUCCCGCAACGAGCGCAACCCUUAUUACUAGUUGCCAGCAUUUAGUUGGGCACUCUAGUGAGACUGCCGGUGACAAACCGGAGGAAGGUGGGGAUGACGUCAAAUCAUCAUGCCCCUUAUGACCUGGGCUACACACGUGCUACAAUGGCGUAUACAACGAGUUGCCAACCCGCGAGGGUGAGCUAAUCUCUUAAAGUACGUCUCAGUUCGGAUUGUAGGCUGCAACUCGCCUACAUGAAGUCGGAAUCGCUAGUAAUCGCGGAUCAGCACGCCGCGGUGAAUACGUUCCCGGGUCUUGUACACACCGCCCGUCACACCAUGAGAGUUUGUAACACCCAAAGCCGGUGGGGUAACCUUCGGGAGCCAGCCGUCUAAGGUGGGACAGAUGAUUAGGGU